GACGAACGCUGGCGGCGUGCUUAACACAUGCAAGUCGUACGGUAAGGCCCUUUUGGGGGUACACGCGUGGCGAACGGGUGAGUAACACGUGAGUAACUUGCCCACCCCUUUGGGAUAACGCACGGCAACUGGUGCUAAUACUGGCUAUGUGCUACUGCUGCCUGGAGGGGGUUGGAUGGCUACGGCGGUUGUGGAUGGACUCGCGGCCUUUCAGCUUGUUGGUUGGGUAGUGGCCUACCAAGGCGGGGGCGGGUGGCCGGCCUGAGAGGGUGACCGGCCACAUUGGGACUGGGAUACGGCCCAGGCUCCUACGGGAGGCAGCAGUUGGGAAUAUUGCACAAUGGGCGCAAGCCCGAUGCAACAACGCCGCGGGCGGGAUGACGGCCUUCGGGUUGGAAACCGCUUUCAGCAGGGACGAAGCUGUUUGUGACGGUACCUGCAGAAGAAGCACCGGCUAACUACGUG
RNAcentral lists this ribosomal RNA (465 nucleotides) under uncultured bacterium. RNAcentral describes it as "partial 16S ribosomal RNA". It matches the Rfam family "Bacterial small subunit ribosomal RNA", at positions 28 to 507 of the family's 1533-position model. The record is from RNAcentral.